UUUUAGCAGAAAAUAAAUUGAAAAUAUGCCGGAAAGUCCUUUGAGAAAAAUUAAGCAUCGUGUUUUCUUUUCAAGCGAGAACAAGUCCAAUUGCAACUGUGGUGAUCUGACUGCUUCUAUGGAGCGCUUUGAGGCAUCGGUCACAGCUUCUAUGGAGCGCCUUGAGGCAUCUGUCACAGCUUCUAUGGAGCGCCUUGAGGCAUAAUUUACAGCUACUGUGGAGCGCUUUGAGGAAUCCAUGGGUGGCUUUUCUGCUGAUGUGUGCUCUUUACGGGCUGACCAUAAUAUAACUCAAGGGCAAAUGCAAGUGUUGGUCGAAGCCGUCGCAGAGCAAGCCGGCACCCUAAAAGGCCUGGUGAGGCAGCAUGGACAGGGAAAACAAUGUUACAAUCUUUCCCGGUACCAUCUGUCCAGGGACUGGUACAGAUGGACAAAGAUAUAAACAGCACAAACAGAGAU
Molecule: long non-coding RNA, 459 nt
Organism: Drosophila obscura
Lineage: Eukaryota; Metazoa; Arthropoda; Insecta; Diptera; Drosophilidae
Exons: 3
Source: RefSeq, a predicted model, not a curated record